GCCAGGCGUGGUGGCGCAUGCCUGUAGUCCCAGCUACUCAGGAGGCUGAGGCUGGAGGAUCUCUUGAGUCCAGGAGUUCUGGGCUGUAGUGCACUAUGCCAGUCGGGUGUCUGCACUAAGUUCUGCAUCAGUAUGGUGGCCUCCUGGGAGUAGGAGACCAUGAGGUUGCCUAAGGAGGGGUGAAGCAGCCCAGGUCAGAAACGGAGCAGGUCAAAACUUGCGUGCUGAUCAGUAGUGGGAUCACGCCUGUAAAUAUCCACUGCACUCCAGCCUGGGCAACAUAGCGAGACCCAUCUCUU
This 299-nucleotide signal recognition particle RNA is filed under the name Aotus nancymaae (Ma's night monkey). RNAcentral's name for it is "Metazoan signal recognition particle RNA (ENSANAG00000010207.1)". It matches the Rfam family "Metazoan signal recognition particle RNA". From Rfam's summary of the family: The signal recognition particle (SRP) is a universally conserved ribonucleoprotein. It is involved in the co-translational targeting of proteins to membranes. The record is from Rfam by way of RNAcentral. Lineage: Eukaryota; Metazoa; Chordata; Mammalia; Primates; Aotidae.